RNAcentral lists this long non-coding RNA (484 nucleotides) under Elaeis guineensis (African oil palm). RNAcentral's name for it is "long non-coding RNA (EGUI_LNC062141)". The record is from RNAcentral. Lineage: Eukaryota; Viridiplantae; Streptophyta; Magnoliopsida; Arecales; Arecaceae.
UCGUUCGAGCACUCCAUUCUUGUUGAGGCAGAGAACUGACUUGAGCGUCGGAGGGUCUUACCGGAGCACCCCCAACUCCAGUUUAGACUUCCUUUACAGGUCCCGACGGAGACCGCGACUCCCUCGACUCCAGCUUCUCCAACGCCGAUGGAUUUUUGCACCAACAGGAUUGACGCUAGAGGAAGGGCGUCUGUGUCUUCGCAGUACCCUUAUUCUUAAAGGAGCGUUCAACGGGACCGCCUUCGGUCAUCUUCUUCGACAUCCUCUUCUCCUUCCUCUACCAGAUCUUCACCUGAUGCCUCCCCGCAAAGCAUCCAUCCGACGAUCCACAACCUCCGCAGCCAGAUCUUCACCUGAUCACCUCCAAUUUCCCAGGCUCCUCCUCCUCCUCCGACAACGGCGGUUGGCGCAGAGCAAUUCGACCUGCUGGUUCAGCAGGUCAGAGGCCUCACUGAAGCGGUACAGGCCAUGCAGCAGCAGCAAC